AUCUCACAUCUCCUUCAGAACUUACGCUGGAAAAACUCCAACAGCUUCAUAUGGACAGAUGGACUUCAAACGCUGUUUGUAUUCCAGAGACUAGGGAGAGUUGGCCCUAUGCAUGGGCAAACAGCUGGACUUUCCAAGGAAGGUUCAGACUAGCUGUGUUCAGCAUUCAAGAAGGAAGAUCCUCCCUCUUGCACAAUUAGAGUGUCCCCAUCGGUCUCCAGUGCGGCAUCCCUUCCUUGCCUUCUACCUCUGUUCCACCCCCUUUCCUUCCUUUCCUCUCUGUACCAUUCAUUCUCCCUGACCGGCCUUUCUUGCCGAGGGUUCUGUGGCUCUUACCCUUGUGAAGCUUUUCCUUUAGCCUGGGACAGAAGGACCUCCCAGCCCCCAAAGGAUCUCCCAGUGACCAAAGGAUGCGAAGAGUGAUAGUUACGUGCUCCUGACUGAUCACACCGCAGACAUUUAGAUUUUUAUACCCAAGGCACUUUAAAAAAAUGUUUUAUAAAUAGAGAAUAAAUUGAAUUCCUGUUCCAUAAA
Molecule: small RNA, 534 nt
Filed under: Pan troglodytes (chimpanzee)
Lineage: Eukaryota; Metazoa; Chordata; Mammalia; Primates; Hominidae
Description: retained intron
Source: RNAcentral